AGCCUAUACUUUAUUGCCCUUAGGAAAUGUACCUAAUCAUGAAACAAGGCCUGAUAAUGAACUUACAAUGAAGUCCAUAAACUUCAUGCAAUAAAAAAAAGUAGGGAAAUGUUCUGAAAGUGAAUUAAAAACCAGCCAGCUCAAGCUCAUAUCUCAUCAAGCACAAAGCCAGUAAUUUUUCAUGCUAAGUACUUACUCUGGCACUAGUGUUCAAAUCUCAAGUGAAUAAAGGUCCUGGUUAUGGCAAGCAUUAAAAAAAACCCCAAAAAUUCCAAACUAAACUUUUUUUAUUAUUAUUCAGAAUUACAAUUGUGGCUGUUAAGCACUCAGUUCUGUCAUGUGGCUAUUUCCACAGUAUUGAAAGCAUGUUGUGCCUUGAUGACACAGCUCUUCCCCUGCCCAUUUUAUCAAGCAGUGAAGCGAAAAUAAUUGAAAAAGAGAUGUGUUUCACACCAUGCGUGUCAAUGCAAGGCUGAAGCCUCAUGCUCCCAGGCAUGCAUGGCACUCAUCCUGCUGCCAGGGCUCUCAAGACAUUGAUAAACUCUUGAUAUUGUUUAAAAUAGAAAACAAACAUUCCUCUUCACAACACACAUUAAAUAACCAUGCACAACAUGAUUUCUACAAAACUUUACACUGCUGAUCAGAAACUUCUAAGACAAUCAGGCACAGCAUAUACUUCAGAUUCUUCCUAGAUCCUCAAACAUAUGAAUACUACCAUGAGCCCUUCAUCACUGAGGUUAUUAUUGUGGUGUGCCAUGAAAAAAAUCAAACCUCAAGAGACUGUACAGAGCUUCAGUCUAAGGUCAGGAGCCAGAAUCAAGUGUAAGAAGAUGAGAUUCAGGAUUAAACAGCUGUGUCCUGUUGAAGGACAAUAGGAUGAUCUGCACAAAUGGCAAAUCAAAUGUAGUUCUUACCAAAGUAUUUGAGCUUCAGAGAACACUUGCUAAUGGUCCUGCAGCUCCUUCACUUUUCACACUUCAUUAUGCCCAACUCAGAACCUUCAUGCACUGCAGAACAGCUGACUUUGUUCCCCCUCUGAAUAUACUGGAGUUCCUAAUAUGCAGCAGUUUGUUCUUACUAAGAUGUGAAUGACUGGCCAGAACACACAGAAUCAAGAGGACUUGGGGUUUUCCUAAAUCUCAGAUUGCAACACAAGAAAGAAAUUUCAGAAAUUAACUUUCCCACUAUCUUACCAUGAAUUUAAUACUGAAUUCAAUACUGGAAGGCUUAUACUCCUGAAUCUGAUCAAAAGCAGGACUGGGAGUUGGUGGUGGUACCCUUUUUGAACACACAGCACAACAAAGGAAUCCAGAUCAGAACUUCUAAUCAUUGUGGUGUUCCAGUGUCAUUCUGUAAUAGUUACUAGAGCAUCAGAACUCUAAUCCUGACAGAUCUCAUUUGCAGGCAAAACUUACUGUUGCUAGACAAAACACACAAGCUGGUGAAAGGAGAAAAAUCAUUGGCAAUUAUUUACCAAGCUAGCUGAAACAUUUGCUUUCCAAUUAGGAUUCAAAUUCGCUAACAAUUCAGUAAUAUCCAGGAGAAAGAUGAUAAGGGAGGGUUUUAUGAAGUGACCUUUUCCAGCCUGAAUGCAGCUUCCUAUGUAGCAACUGUUACUGGGGAAGGGCUGGUUUCACCCACAAAGAGCUAACUUUCCCUGGUAAUAGUUAAGCAGCAUCACAGUAGGCUUUGGCCCUUUAAUUGUUUAAUUACUUUUUGUUGUUGAAUGCCAACAACUCCCAUUCACACCAUGUAGUCUAAGGCGAUUUGGGGAACAGUAAAACAGCUAUGGUUUUGGAAAUUUUAAUCAUAGCAUUUUGUUGCUGCUCUUGGUAAAAGAUGUAUAAGUCAGCACAGACAGUAAGGAACUGGCAAAAAUCUCAGAGGAAAUAAUUUUGACUUCCAGUUUUUGUCAAGCCAGUUAUCAUCCCUUAUAGAUAAUUAUCACUAUAAUGAAGACUGAAAUUGAAAAACACAGAACAAAAGAAACUACUGGUCCUGCAUUUGUCCUCCAGAUGCAUAAGGGGUGCCACGCUUUCAGAGCUGAGCAAACAAAUUUAGUAUCAAAGCAGUUUUGUUUGGGUGGGUGUUUUUUUCCCUUUAAUCCCUAUACACACAUUGUUCUUAUGAUAAAAAUCAGGAACUUAAAACAGCAAAUGCUGUGUUGAUUCUGUAACAUUCAUUAACCUACACAUACCUCUCUGUAUUUGCACUGCUUUAUCUAUUUUUUAUAUAUAAAUUGUGUAUCAUUAAGAGUUAUCUGUACAGCAGCUACCAAAGAAAUAAUAAGACAAAUUUAAAUAUCCAUUCUUCCCUCAGCCUCACAGUUCUAAAGUAACCUGGUCAACAGGCCUUGAAUCCAGCCAACAUUCAAGAGGCCCUGUCUCAGACAGCUUUUGUAAUAAGUGUCACUGGCACAUCCUGUCCAGGUCAGUCAAUUAUCUUUUAUGCCUCUAGUCCCACCUUCUUUUCCCCAGUAACUGCUAGAUCCAUAUUCACUUCAGAAAGCAUAACUGGAAAUCUUGAGAACAUAAAUCCUGCAUUAUUCUCAAAUAUGUGAAAAUAAGAGAAUGGGCUUUCAAUUCAUCUGCAGACAUCUGCAAAGGAUCAAAGCAUGUGUUCUAAAAGCUUAUAGAAAAACAGGUAAAAAUAUGUAGUUGUAGCACUGAUUUGGGAAUAAUUUCGUUAAAUUCAAGCAAACAUAUGAGACCUGUGCAUUUUAAUGAACUGAAAAG
RNAcentral lists this long non-coding RNA (2735 nucleotides) under Taeniopygia guttata (zebra finch). RNAcentral's name for it is "lncRNA (ENSTGUG00000021372.1)". The record is from RNAcentral. Lineage: Eukaryota; Metazoa; Chordata; Aves; Passeriformes; Estrildidae.